AAAAUUAAUAAUUUUUAUUAAAAAAAUUCAAGUUUUAGAAAUAUAUACUACUAAAUAAAUAAUUUUUAAAAUAAAUCUCUCAAAGUCUUAAGAUAUUUUUAAUUAAAAAUAUUAUUAUUAUUGUAAGAGAUUUUAGUCGAAGAACUUUUGAUGAAGAUCCCCUCAUUUUUCUAAAUAAAACAUUUUUUUAGCCUUGAUGCAAAAUAUGUCCGGAUGAACUAGAUGGUUUAACGGUUGACAUUUUCCAGGGUUUUCUCUCUUCUUUUCCUUUGUUCUCUUUCUUGGAUCUUUCGGCUGGCUCUUGGCUCUGACGACGGUGCGUCAUCUCCUCGAUGCGGUCGUUGGCUGGCUCCGGAGACCAAGCCAUCUUCUUCGGUGUUGGUCUGCCGGCUCUUGGCUCCGAUGACGGUCGCUCUUACUCUUGUGACGUUGCUGGUUUACUACCGGUUAUCUUCCGGUUCUGUUCGAUCUUCGCUUGCGUGUUCUUCUUGAUUCCAUCGAACCCGAUCUCAUCAGGCGAUUGUUUCGGGCUUCUUCCAAGGUAAAUUUAUGUUUGUGAUCGCUGGUUGUUCGAUUGAAGUAGUAUGAAGCGAAGAAACUUUGGUUUGAAUUCUGGAUCGCUUGGUGGCUUUGCUUGGAGUUGAUUGUCGAUCAGGGUUGAUUGGCUUUUCCAUGCUGGAGCUCAAGCGUUAUAAUUGAUGGUUUUGUGGCUCUUCAAUUGCAAAUAGUUUGUUGGUUUCCGUCGUUAUGUCUCCGGUGAACAGAGAUGUGAGCUCCAGCAACUACUUUCAGGUCGGUGGGGAGAUUGACUCUCAGCUUGUCAUGCAUCCGUCUAGUUCAACAUGUGUUUGGGGAGUCAUCCUUUUUUUUUUUGGGCCUUUUUAUGUUCUGGGUUUUUCUGAGCCCACAUUUUGUUGGUUGUUUAUAUCGAUUGGAAUUUGAGUCUCUUCUUGUUUAUUUAUUUUUGUGAUGGACUUUAAGCUUUUAAUAAUAAAAGGGAAAAAAAAAUUACAUGGU
This 1017-nucleotide long non-coding RNA is filed under the name Brassica napus (rape). RNAcentral's name for it is "long non-coding RNA (BNAP_LNC005957)". Lineage: Eukaryota; Viridiplantae; Streptophyta; Magnoliopsida; Brassicales; Brassicaceae. The record is from RNAcentral.